GACGAACGCUGGCGGCGUGCUUAAUACAUGCAAGUCGAACGGAAAGGCCCUGCUUUUGUGGGGUGCUCGAGUGGCGAACGGGUGAGUAUCACGUGAGUAACCUGCCCUUGUCUUUGGGAUAACUUCAGGAAACUGGGGCUAAUACCGGGUAUGAGCUCCUGCUGCAUGGUGGGGGUUGGUAAGUGUCGGCGGUUGGGGAUGGACUCGCGGCUUAUCAGCUUGUUGGUGGGGUAGUGGCUUACCACGGCUUUGACGGGUAGCCGGCCUGAGAGGGUGACCGGCCACAUUGGGACUGAGAUACGGCCCAGACUCCUACGGGAGGCAGCGGUGGGAAAUAUUGCGCAAUGGGCGGAAGCCUGAUGCAGCAACGCCGCGUGCGGGAUGACGGCCUUCGGGUUGUAAACCGCUUUCGCCUGUGACGAAGAGUGAGUGACGGUAAUGGGUAAGGAAGCACCGGCUAACUACGUG
This 468-nucleotide ribosomal RNA is filed under the name uncultured bacterium. Its description in RNAcentral is "partial 16S ribosomal RNA". It matches the Rfam family "Bacterial small subunit ribosomal RNA", at positions 28 to 507 of the family's 1533-position model. The record is from RNAcentral.